Molecule: long non-coding RNA, 225 nt
Filed under: Elaeis guineensis (African oil palm)
Lineage: Eukaryota; Viridiplantae; Streptophyta; Magnoliopsida; Arecales; Arecaceae
Description: long non-coding RNA (EGUI_LNC015448)
Source: RNAcentral
CAUCGGAUAGAUACUUUGGAUCUAGGUCCGAGAUGUGAACUUGUUGAACUCAAUGAGAACAAUAAGGAUCUGAUCACCUACAUGGAUGUCAUGCAGAGGUUCGACUCUGAUUAAUGGCUUGGAGCCAUAGAGUCAAAAAUUGAGUCCAUGAUGGUCAAUGAUGUAUGGACAUUCAUUGAUUCACUCGAAGGGUAAAGCCCAUAGAGUGUAAGUGGAUCUUCAAUA